Molecule: ribosomal RNA, 465 nt
Filed under: Vreelandella stevensii
Lineage: Bacteria; Pseudomonadati; Pseudomonadota; Gammaproteobacteria; Oceanospirillales; Halomonadaceae
Description: partial 16S ribosomal RNA
Rfam family: Bacterial small subunit ribosomal RNA
Source: RNAcentral
CCUACGAGCUGCAGCAGUGGGGAAUAUUGGACAAUGGGCGAAAGCCUGAUCCAGCCAUGCCGCGUGUGUGAAGAAGGCCUUCGGGUUGUAAAGCACUUUCAGUGGGGAAGAAAGCCUUGGGGCUAAUACCCUCGAGGAAGGACAUCACCCACAGAAGAAGCACCGGCUAACUCCGUGCCAGCAGCCGCGGUAAUACGGAGGGUGCGAGCGUUAAUCGGAAUUACUGGGCGUAAAGCGCGCGUAGGCGGUCUGAUAAGCCGGUUGUGAAAGCCCCGGGCUCAACCUGGGAACGGCAUCCGGAACUGUCAGGCUAGAGUGCAGGAGAGGAAGGUAGAAUUCCCGGUGUAGCGGUGAAAUGCGUAGAGAUCGGGAGGAAUACCAGUGGCGAAGGCGGCCUUCUGGACUGACACUGACGCUGAGGUGCGAAAGCGUGGGUAGCAAACAGGAUUAGAUACCCCGGUAGUC